UACAGAGGGGGCAAGCGUUGUUCGGAAUUACUGGGCGUAAAGGGCGCGUAGGCGGCCUGUUAAGUCGAACGUGAAAUCCCCGGGCUCAACCCGGGAACUGCGUCCGAUACUGGCAGGCUUGAAUUCGGGAGAGGGAUGCGGAAUUCCAGGUGUAGCGGUGAAAUGCGUAGAUAUCUGGAGGAACACCGGUGGCGAAGGCGGCAUCCUGGACCGAGAUUGACGCUGAUGCGCGAAAGUCAGGGGAGCAAACGGG
Molecule: ribosomal RNA, 253 nt
Filed under: uncultured bacterium
Lineage: Bacteria
Description: partial 16S ribosomal RNA
Rfam family: Bacterial small subunit ribosomal RNA
Source: RNAcentral